This 348-nucleotide small RNA is filed under the name Arabidopsis thaliana (thale cress). RNAcentral describes it as "ATSL227820". The record is from RNAcentral. Lineage: Eukaryota; Viridiplantae; Streptophyta; Magnoliopsida; Brassicales; Brassicaceae.
AAGUAUAUGAAUGACAAACAUAAAAUCAAUGCAUCAACAUUUCGAUGUAAUUGUUUGGUAUUUAGGCAGUUUUUUGUUUUGUUUGGUAUGGUGUCAAUGCAGGGCUAAGAAUGGGAUAGAGGAGAUGUGUAGGGAUCUAUGGAAUUGGGCAAGCAAUAACCCCUACGGCUACAAUUCCUCCUCCAAUGGCUCCUCUUCAUAAUUCUCCUUUUUUAAUUUUUAUUUUGCCUUUUUUGCUUACUUAUAUUCAUAUAAACAAACACAUAAAAAAAAAGAAGAGAAAGGCUGACAAGUACCCAAACUUUAGAAGAAAUUGAGGAAAAUUCUUGUACUAUCAAUUUAUCAUAG